GGCGAACGCUGGCGGCGUGCCUAAUACAUGCAAGUCGAGCGCAGGAAAUCAUCCGAACCUUUCGGGGGGACGUUGAUGGAAUGAGCGGCGGACGGGUGAGUAACACGUAAAGAACCUGCCCUCAGGCCUGAGAUAACCACGAGAAAUCGGGGCUAAUACCGGAUGGGUCAUCGGACCGCAUGGUCCGAGGAUGAAAGGCGCUUCGGCGUCGCCUGGGGAUGGCUUUGCGGUGCAUUAGCUAGUUGGUGGGGUAAUGGCCCACCAAGGCGACGAUGCAUAGCCGACCUGAGAGGGGGAUCGGCCACACUGGGACUGAGACACGGCCCAGACUCCUACGGGAGGCAGCAGUAGGGAAUCUUCCACAAUGGACGAAAGUCUGAUGGAGCAACGCCGCGUGAACGAUGAAGGCCUUCGGGUCGUAAAGUUCUGUUGUAAGGGAAGAACAAGUGCCGCAGGCAAUGGCGGCACCUUGACGGUACCUUGCGAGAAAGCCACGGCUAACUACGUGCCAGCAGCCGCCGUAA
RNAcentral lists this ribosomal RNA (524 nucleotides) under uncultured bacterium. Its description in RNAcentral is "partial 16S ribosomal RNA". It matches the Rfam family "Bacterial small subunit ribosomal RNA", at positions 28 to 523 of the family's 1533-position model. The record is from RNAcentral.